UUUCCAUCUUCUUCCCCUGAUCCCUAACGCCCUCCCCCUUCUCCUGAUUCUUUUCUCUUCCCCCAUCUUCGCCGCACUCCUUUUCCCCUCCUCGUGCCACCACUCGAAGUGAAAAUUGACACCAGCCGAUCGUCGACCACGUUUCCCUUAUCUUCAUCUCGUCGACGCAAACAACUUGCGAAGCAUCCAGAUUCCUUCUUCAUUCACCCAACCACAGCCUCUUCCCCCUUGCUCUUCUCUCCGCAUCGCCAUCGACUGCCACUGCCUGACGCCAACUACCAGCCACCCGUGUGCCACUUGAUCUCCUCUCUCCUGGUCGCAGACACCAUGUGCUCGUCGGAAGCUAAGCAUCUAAUCCCAUGUCUUCAGCCGAGCCCUAGAUGUCGACCCCCUAUCGACCGAGCAUGCUAGAUCUCUACUAGAAUUUGUUAAUCGUGUCGAAUCUCUGCUCGACAUUGCAUCUCCGAUCUUAAGGAUGAUCUACUCGGGUCGACCUCUUCCUCCUCCACUCUACAUCGCUGCUUGAUUUCGUUGGAUCCCUACUUAGUGUGGUCGUAGGAUCGCAUCAAGUUUUGGUUAGCCGUUGCUGAUUGAUUAUGCCAGUGCCACAUUGUCGCCGUUCUCUUCUCUGCAUUGUCUUGACACCAUAGCAACCACCGCAAGUCUCAUGGCCCUGAUUUUAUGUCACCACUGAAGCUCCUACAUCCUCCAUUCCACCGGUGACACAAAUUACCGCCUAGCUACCAGAAGUGGGUUCUUCCACAUGAAUUGAAUCUAUUGGCACAUAUAUGGGGUGCCAGAUUUGGAGACUCUCUAAUAUUUUAGAUCUGGCCAUAUUUUUCUAGCAGCGGGUGCUCCAUCGGCGAGUUAACAGGGAAGUACACGGGUAUAGGACGUUGAUUCAAGAUGAGCAUCUCGAAGUGGGAUUUGUUCCGAUACGAACUACUGAUUAAGGAGACAUUAUGGAUUUGGUCUGACGACCCUGCACCUGUUUGUAUGGUUCACACAUUUAUGUUCAGAUAGGAGGUCCUGGUGAGUAUAGUUUCUUCUGUUGUUCAGUUUUACAUUACUUGUUAUUGAUCAGGAGACUGUACUGCAUGGUUAUUACUUGUAGUUAUAUUUUACUAUACAUAUCUGCUUGAUACCCACUGAGUAUGUUAUACUCACUACCCCUUAUUUUUCUUGUUGAUUUCAGGUUAGCACAUAGAUAUGUUGUGUCGCUUAGAGUAUCUUGUCUUCAAGUUCCACGUCACAUCCGAGGACUAUUUCCAAUUUUAUCUCUGCUUUACUUGUCUUACGUUUUUGGUGGAGUUGGUGUUGUAUAAAUUCGAAUUUGUUUUUAGAGUUUGCUAUGUGGAGUUUGUAUUUGUUUUGUUGUGGUUGUGUAAGCCUAGCUAGUUAGCAGUCUUCAUUUUUUUGUAUAAGCUUUCUUUCAUUUUCCGCUUUGUUUUUAGUACAGUCGUAUGAGCUGUUUAAUAUAUAUAUAGCUGUGUAGUUGUGUAUAUUCUAGCUGUGUGGGCUAAUGUAUAUAACUUGUGGAUGUAUAUAUGAUUUAGAUUGUCAUCGGUACAGGGGAGAUGUUGCCAGAUUUUCCUUUGGCAAGGACUCCUCUGGGGCGUGAUAAUUUAUUGGUAUCAGAGCUAGUUUUACAAGGCUUAAUUCUUGUAUUUUGGAUUUCAUGUUUUGAUUUUCUCGAUGUGACUUUUCGAGUUUUGGGACCAGACAGCAGCAGGACAUCUCUAAGCUAUAGGAGGUAUAUUUGUUUACUGUUAUCAUGCACUUCUUUUAAUACAUAUGUAGUUGUCGAUGAUAGUUAGUUAUGACAUGUGUUAAUACUCUUUUAUUACCUGUCUAGUUGUUUGUAGCAUAUAUUUCAUGUGAUGGGUCAACCACUGAUCACGGUCGACCCUAUGAGAGAUCAAGGAUAACAGUCUAAGGGGAUUUGUCAAAUCAUACUACCAGUAAUAAUCAUGUUGACUCAGUUAGUAGAGUACCGGUUUACUCCUGUUGGUUCGGUCAGCAUCCUAAUCCUCGGUAUUAUCAGACUCAUCAGCAGGAUAGGUAUAAUUUAUUUGCAAGAUUCGGGUAUGGGAACAUACAAGAAGGGAUUUUUGAGUGGUCUCAGUAUUAUCAGCCUUAGUUUCAACACCAUCAGCCUGAGCAACAUUUUAGGGAGUAAUCACAACAAUAUUUGCAUCAACAAGAAAUACAAUUUCAUGAAAGAGCACAUUCAUCGACAUAGUUACAGUUACUAUCAGAUCAACCAACUGCAUCAAUUUAUGAGGAGAUGAAUUGUAGAGUUUGUGAUAUUACUAACUUUAAGCUGCUACUUCACAUGACUCUUCUAGUUUUUUAUAUUGUGAUGUUGUAGUUGAUCCUGAUAAUAUUCUUGUUGAUGAUAUUGUUGUUUCAAAUAUUCUA
Zingiber officinale is the source of this 2421-nucleotide long non-coding RNA. RefSeq lists it as uncharacterized. Lineage: Eukaryota; Viridiplantae; Streptophyta; Magnoliopsida; Zingiberales; Zingiberaceae. The transcript is spliced from 4 exons. The record is from RefSeq and is a predicted model, not a curated record.